AGGGAAACCACGGGUAAUACCAGAUGUGGUCCUUAGAUGGCAUCAUCGAGGGAUUAAAUCGAGCAAUCGGCUUUGGGAGCGGCUUAUGUCCUAUCAGCUUGUUGGUGAGGUAACGGCUCACCAAGGCUACGACGGGUAGGGGGUCUGAGAGGAUGAUCCCCCCGAGUGGGACUGCGACACGGCCCACACACCUACGGGUGGCAGCAGUUUGGAAUAUUGCACAAUGGGGGAAACCCUGAUGCAGCGACGCCGCGUGGAGGACGAAGGAUCUAGGUCUGUAAACUCCUUUUGCCAGGAAAGACUUAGGACGGUACCUGGCGAAUAAGCCCCGGCUAACUACGUGCCAGCAGCCGCGGUAAGACGUAGGGGGCGAGCGUUGUCCGGAUUUACUGGGCGUAAAGAGCGCGUAGGCGGCUAGUUAAGUGAGAAGUGAAAUCUCCAGGGCUCAACCCGGAAACUGCUUUUCAUACUGGCCAGCUGGAGGGACGCAGGGGUGACUGGAAUUCCCGGUGUAGCGGUGAAAUGCAUUGAUAUCGGGAGGAACUCCACAGCGAAGGCAGGUCACUGGGCGUUUCCUGACGCUGAGGCGCGAAAGCGUGGGUAGCAAACAGGAUUAGAUACCCUGGUAGUCCACGCCCUAAACGAUGGAUACUAGACGUAAGAGGUAUUGACCCCUCUUGUGUNGCAGGCUAACGCAUUAGUAUCCCGCCUGGGGGAGUACGGGCCGCAGGGUUGNACUCAAAUGAAAUUGACGGGGACCCGCACNAGCGGUGGAGCAUGUGGAAUUNAUUGGAUACUAACCGGAGACCUUACCCAGGUGGGACAUCGAUGGUAAGCCCGAGAGAUCGGGCCCUCUCUCACAAGGAGACCUGAAGACAGAUGUUGCAUGGACUGUCGUCAGCUCGGUGCCGUGAGGUGUACGGUUAAGUCCGCCAACGAGCGCAACCCUCGUCCUAUGUUGCCAGCGAGUAAUGUCGGGAACUCAUAGGAGACCGCCGGUGUAAGCCGGAGGAAGGUGGGGAUGAUGUCAAGUCAGCAUGGCUCUUACGCCUGGGGCUUCACACAUGCUACAAUGGGCGC
Molecule: ribosomal RNA, 1080 nt
Filed under: uncultured bacterium
Lineage: Bacteria
Description: bacterial SSU rRNA
Rfam family: Bacterial small subunit ribosomal RNA
Source: RNAcentral